CAUCACUCAUCAUCAGGGAAAUACAAAUUAAAACCAGGAUGAGAUACCACCUCACAUCUGUCAGAAUCACUAAAAUUUACCACACAGGAAACAACAGUUGUUGGUAAGGAUAUGGAGAAAAGGGAACCCUCAUAAACUAUUGGUGGGAAUGCAAACUGGUACAAGCACUGUGGAAGACGGUAUGAAGUUUCUUCAACAAAUUAAAAAUAGAAAUACCAUAUGGCCCAGUAACUGCACUAGUGGAUAUUUACCCAAA
This is a long non-coding RNA of Mustela erminea (ermine), 256 nucleotides long. RefSeq lists it as uncharacterized. Lineage: Eukaryota; Metazoa; Chordata; Mammalia; Carnivora; Mustelidae. The record is from RefSeq and is a predicted model, not a curated record. The transcript is spliced from 2 exons.